Molecule: non-coding RNA, 6645 nt
Organism: Delphinapterus leucas (beluga whale)
Lineage: Eukaryota; Metazoa; Chordata; Mammalia; Artiodactyla; Monodontidae
Source: RefSeq, a predicted model, not a curated record
CAACGGGUCACCUCACCUGAAAUGCAGAGAGGUGUCCAUACUUCUUGUCCUAGUAACGUGGCCCCUCGCUGGCAGGUGGGGAUCCCAGGAGUCCCCCAGGAGACCCCAGACUCGUCAUGGCAUAUCUGAAGAGGCAACAGCCCUUCUGGGGUCCAGGCCUGCCCUGACCCUUCAUGGUCUGGUUAGACCAGCAGUGGGCACAGCCAGGCCACCUUUAGAGGAAUGGUGUGGCCACACAGUUGAGGUCUGGCCACUGUGGGGUGAGUGGGGCCCGGCUCAUAUAAAAUUCCUCUUGUGGGGUCCUUGGUGCUCUUUCCCUCAUUUGUGCCCCCUGGCACUGAUGUGGGCUGUUAUCUUGAAGUCCUGGUUUUUAGACAGAGGGAACUGGGGCCGAGAAAUCUGGUGGGAGGAUCGCCGCUGAACCUCGGGACCAGCUUCCCACCAGGCAGGGGGUGACGCAUCUGCCACAGCUUAGCCCUUACGUCCUGAGGGUUCAUUUGUUAUGCGGCCGGCACGGCCUGCUUCACAGAGAGGCUGAUCAGGACAUAAACUGUCACCAGUUCACCCCCUUUGAGGCUGAACUCCUUCCCAAGGGCUCUCAGACCUCCCAGCAGACACCAUGUCCCUCACCCUCACUCCAGACCCUCAGUCUGUACCCUAAUUUAAAUGAAUCCUGCAAAUGUUUGGAAAGGACUUGCUGAUAUCGUGAGUUGUUCUGGGUGCUUCCAGAAAACCCUGGAGCAAAACUGACCAAGUCCCGGAUGUCAGCCAGCUUUGCACUCCGGGGCUCUGUAUGUGGUAGCCUGUGCACGGAAAAGACACACACACACGCACACACGCACACACACACACACACACUUGAGCCCUGAGGGACAGCCAAUCGGGUGAGGAAUCAAAGGGAAGGGUGGCCACUGCUUUGCCUCUUUGAUAAGACAGCGAAUCCCAGAGGCAGCAGGGGAGUCGGGAGCCCGGUGGCGGAGGGCAUCGCGGGUAGAGGGGAGGGGCAUGCCGGCAGUUGGGGCAGGUACGUGGCCGGUGUGCGUGCUCCAGCGGAGGCCAGUGAGGGGGGUGGGCGAGGUCAGAGGGGCAUGGUGGGAGUAGAGGGGAGGUGUGUUCUGACCUGUUGUAAUAGGAUCACUCGAUCUUCUGUGGAGGGUGAAGGUGGAGGCCAGGAGACCAGCAGGAUGCUGCUCCCGUCCUGCGGGGGCACGACGGUCAUACCCUGAGGGCAGUGGGUGAGCUGGUGCUUGGGCUGAGGGAUCCAAGGCGAGCCCCUGCUUUCUGACCUGAGUCUUCGGGGGAGCGGGGCGUCUCUUACUGGGAUGGGCGAGACAGGUGCGGAGAUGCUGACAGUGAUGUUUUGGACCAGUUAGAUUUGGGGCUUUGGAGCUGGGCCCCCAGGACUCCUUCUACAGGAGGAGCAAGCCCCCUGGCUGAGAGCCACGCUCCUUCCAGCAGCUCUGACCCCCUUGGAACGUGGAUUUGCGCCUCAAAGCCCCCCUUGCCGAGCCGUCUAAUCGCUGAGUCUCGCUCCUUUGCUGUGCUGGUUCACUGCUUCCUGGCGUCUUCCUGUGCCUGUCCCCAGGGUAGGCGCUCCAGAACCUUCCCUGCAUCUCGGGGAGCCCCCUUCCUGCAGCCUGGUAUCUCGCCCCCUUGCUGUGCUGGUUCCCUGCUUCCUGGCGUCUUCCUGUGCCUGUCCCCAGGAAGAAAUGUGCUCCAAGGAUCCUUUUGAGCCUUUUCCUGUGAGAGGCCCUUUCAACAGGCAGAGAUGGGCAGAAACCUCACUUCCGUCUGCUCCCCAGGCCGGAGGAGACUGUCAGGCUGGGAAGGGGCUUGGAGGCUCGUGGAGGCCUCCAGCUGGGGUGGAGGCUUGCUCUGCUGACAGUGACGGGGGGCCCGCAGUGCCCCCCGCCUGUCUCCACGGCGUGUGCCCUGCUGGAAGUGUGUCUGCUGGGAAAGACCAGGGCUCCCCUCGGGGGAAGCACAGACCCGCCUCCCCCCACAGUGUGUCCUGCCUUCUGGUGAGUCUCCAUUUUCCCAGCAUGUGUUUGGGGUGUUGAAUUGUUCCCCUCUGAUGCAGGGUUCCCACUCGGGGCAUUGCAGAGCCGCUGGCAUUGACCAAGUGCCUGGGGCCUGGGACCCCACGGCCUCGGGUUCCGGGUGAACCUACCUGGGUACCUGGGUGCCUGCCCUGGCAUUGGAGCUCUCCCAGGCGGGACGCAGAUGGGCAGAGUCGUCCUCCCCCACGACUUUCACUGAGGGUGCAGGCAGAACCCCAACCAAACAGAAGGGUCAUCUUGCAAAAUCCCUGCGCUGGACACUGGAAGCCCUGCCCCGUAGGCUGAGCACAGGGACGCUGGUGAGGAAUCGACUGUCUGAAGCCUCAGUUUCCUUAUUUGUAAAACGGGAAGAUGAAAAUAAACAAACAAAUGCGGCUUUUGGCGGCUGCGCUAGGAUUGCGUGAAAAGAGCUACCCGCUGAGGCUGGCGUGCCCCAGGCACUCGGGAAGUGCGGAUUCGUGCCACGGAUGUGUUCAGCACAGGCCGCAAGUGCUGGCCAGGAGUAGGUUCUUGGCCUGGUCCUGUGCCCAGAGGCUCCUAGGAGCCAUUCCAGAGCUUUCUCAGGAACUCGAGCCAUAGUGGGAGGCCAUUCCUAGUGGGGUCUGUGGAGAGGGCCGGAGGGGUACCCACAGAGGACCUGGGGCCUGGGCCCUGAGGACAGUGCUCUCCGCCCCGUCAGACAUGCGUCCACAGGCACACAUGCCUGCUCUUCCUCCCUGAGAUGUUGUCCAUCUGUGCUUUCCCCUCACACUGCCAGCGCCGUGUUCCCCCACUGGACCCUGCCACCCUGGGACCUCAGUGAGUCGCACGCGCUCAGGGGUCCUGAGGGGGACCUGCAUCGCUGCUUGUCGACGAAGCCUCCUUGCCGCGCCCCAAGACUGAGGUGACGCAGACCUGCAGCCACCACGCUCAUGUCCUUUGGGGUUUCACCGUCCCCCCCGUGCCUCUGCCUGUGCAGGUAACACAAGCCACGGCUAACCUGACUUUAUCAAGAUUGACAAUGCUGAUUUCAGGGAAGGGAUUGGCAGAGCGGCAGGCCGGACAUUCAGUGCAGCCCCCAGGGCGUGGCCGGCACCCUCCCGUCUGGGAUUCAUUUUACACAAAACCAGAACCUCCACCUGGGAUUUGUCUCAGGACAGAAAAUGCGAGUGAAUCCUUUCCCGAAGCUGAAGCCUUCACAGGAGGCAGAGGGCUUGGAGCUCUUGAGAUCCACCCCCACCCUUUAUAAAUUAUGGGCCUGGGGCCCAGGGAGGGGACGGGAUUUGCCCACAAUCACAGCCGACGGCCCCCUCGGUGGAGCAGCGUGCACCUGGCAGCUGGCUCGCCCUGCCAGGAGGAAAGUGGAUCUGAUGGAUGACCCUCGCCUGAGUGAGAAAUAGGUUAAUGCAUCAUCUGGCCCGGGCUAUUGGCAUCCUCAUAGCAGAGGGGAAGGUGGACGAGUCUCCCACAGGGUCUUCUGGCUUCCUCAUCAGAGGACCUGCCCACGUCCUGGAGGUGACCGCCCUGCACCUUCCUGGAGGCUGCUCUCAGGCAUGGGAUGGAGGCAUGCGGCCUAUGAACCCUCCAGGAGGGCCUUAGGUGGGGCCUCUAAGAGGCCCACGGUGUCCAGGUGUCGCUCUGACUCACUGGCUUAUUGAGGCUGUGCCUGAGGGCCCCGGCUGGGGGAGGCACGCUGAGGCCCCAGGCGCAGGGGUCCUGGGGGAGGGGGACCAGCGUCCCAGAGCAAGGCCCAGGCAGGGAGCUCUCGGGGGGCCAGGUCCCUGGCCUCCAGGCUGCAGGGCUCAGCGCGAACCAGACCUGCUUACACCGCCAGGCACGUGGAGCCCAUGGGGGCUGAGUGUGGUCAAGGGGCACCCGUCCCAGCUCUCGCCCCAGCGUGGACACUCCGCCCCCAGACUCCAGGUGUGGGCGGAGCCCCGUCGGGCCCACUCUGUCCUGCCCUGCUUGCAGCUCAGCUUCUCUUCCCAAACUCCCCUGGCCUCUUCAGGUUCCUAACUGGCCUUCCAGGUGGAAACUGAAGUCCAAUUUCUGAGGCUUGCUGUCUCCAGCUGGGAACUGGAGGCCCUAAACGCAGCUCUCCAGUCAGCUGGGUUAGUCAUUCAGGGGUGACAUUAACCUUUCCUUUGUGGCACGCCGUUAUUAUUUUUAAUGUGUGUCUGCUUUGUGUCAGGCACCCCCUGAGGGCUGGAACGAGGGAAGAUGGUGCCCCCGAGCCUGGAGGAGGACAGGCACGUGAUGAGUGGAUGCAGCAGGGGCUGCUACUUCCGCCCAAAGAGGCCGAGGGAGCCCUAGAGGAGGGAAGGUUUCUUUCCUGGGGAAUAGCGUCCCUGCAGUGACAACGGCCUGUCACAGGCCUGGAGGGGUGUAAGGAGAGGAGGUGAGGGUUGUUUUCCAUGAGAAGGCUUGAGAGCGGGACAAGUGAGAUGCCUGUGUUGAUUGGACCAGGCACCCGCCGGCUCAGGCGCUGUCACCGUGGUUGGGACACGGUCGUGGUGCCGAAGGAGGGUGCGGGCUGAAGCCCCAGAGCUGUUGUAGGGUCCUGACCGCUGCGGAAACUACUUCUAAUUCAUCCAGGAAUCCUGCGGGUGCCAUCUUUGAAAUCAAGCCAUCGUGCAAAUCUCUCCCCACCCAAGAGUCAGCACCGCGGUCAACAUCUCCAUCAGCGCCAGGACAGCCUGCAGUGGUGUCCUGUCUAGUCAACUCUGCCCACCUUCUGAGUCUCUGCCAGCGCUCAGAGGGACCCUGUAAAAAGCAAGCAGUCCUGUCACUGCACCGUGGGGCCCCUCCCAGGGGCUCCUGUCUCACGCACGAUAAACACAAAGCAAACCCCGAGGCCCGCCAGCCCUCGCGGUCUGGCCUCUCUGCUCUCGACCUCAUCCACGCCUCUACCACUGGCCGCGCCCUGCAGCAAGGAUGGGCACCUGCUGUCCUGAACAUACGGGGCAGCUUCUCCCGUGGUGGUUGUGGGGGGGGCGGUGCAUUUUCUCCUCCGUCUGGAGCAGCAACAGUUGUGAUAUCCUUCUUGCCUCUUUGCGAUAGGUGCCCUCCCUAUUCACACGCAGCCCUCCCGUGGGUUCUCCCACCUUCAUGGCCUUCCCUCCUCCGUGGGACCCAGGCCCUCUGUGGCAGACAGGCCUGAGCAGGCCCACCUCCUGGAGUUCUCACCCUGGGGUGAGCCCCUCCCCAGGUGUGGGCAGGACCUGUGACCACCUCUGCCUACAGAAGGUGCCCCGGGUGCUGGGGCCUUGCUUGCGGCUGACAGACGUGAGACCGCCUUGUUGCACACUCAGCCUAGAGUCUUGCUGUUGUCUGCUUUGGAUAACUAAGCUGUCUGCAAGUGCACGUAAGUUCGCCAAAGCAUGAGUGAGUGAAGAUGGGGACGAGAACGCAGCCUGGCCCACACCUGGAUCGCUGCCUGAGCGGAAAGCCCAGCUCGGCGGUGCCAGGGCUCCUGGCCACAGACGCCAAGAGAUGGUCAGCUUGUGUGUCUGCAGCUGUUGAGCAUGCGGUAGUUGUCAGGCAGUGAUAAAGAGCCAUUACACCUUCUAGCCUCUGUGUGUUUCCCUUGUUUAUUUCUGCUGCCUGUCCCCCCAGCACAGGGGAGGCCUGAGAGGGUGAAGACCUUUGUCCCUUGGCUCUGCUGCAUCUCCAGGGCCUGAGUACACAUAGAACUGUAGGUGCUCCGUAAAUGUGUGUUGAAUGAGGUGACAUUUCAUUGCUUUUAUGCAGAUAAGAAAUAGAUAAGGGGAGAAAUAUUAUGGGCCGCAAAAUGCAGAAUGUUUCUGUUCUACAGACACAGCAGUGACGUCCCAUAUAGUUAUUUAUUUUUUUUUCUGUAACCUCAUUUUAAGGGCAUUCCUUGUCUCAAAUAGAAACACAGGAUGGAAUUGUUGGAAGGGGACUUGGUGACUGCAAGCUGAGCCCUCAUUUUAUAGAUGAGGGAAAAGACUUGCUUAGGGUCACACAGCGAGCGAGGGAGCGAGUGAAUACUGUGCACAGAAAAGGAGACAGAACAGAAACUGAGCCAGCUUCCCCGCCCAGGGCCCUCCCCCGAGCCCGAGAAACCCCAUGCAGGAGGCCGUGAAGCCCAGCCCCUCUGUCCUCCUUAACCGGGUUCGCCAGUUCGGGUUGUGUUGGACUCCAGCGAUCGGCCCUCCACGGCAGCCACCGCCUACGUCUGCGUUCCCGGCCCUCUGCUGUUCCUCUCUCCAGCGGGGAGUCUCUCUCUCCCCUUCUUGACUCUAGACGGGCCUUUGCAAUUUGUUUCAUCCAUUGGAUGCAGAAGGAGGGACAUUCCAGAGCUUCGGAGGCCAGUUCAGAAAAACUUGAAGCUCCUGCCUCGGCCUCUUGGAAGCUUGCCUCUGACGGCCCUGGGACACUAAGUAAGAAUUCCUGCUACCCACUGGGAGUCACCUGGAGAGGACUGGGCCUCCCGGGAAGGAGAGGGGCCCACAGGGGGCCAACCCUGCUCUGUGCCCGCCAAGGUCCAGGCCUGUGGAUGGAGCAGCUGAAUUCAUAGGCUGAGCCCAGCUGCUGCCAUGUAGGGCAGACCAGUAGUCCUUCUUGAAUUCCUGACCUUCAAAGU